UACGUAGGGGGCAAGCGUUGUCCGGACUCAUUGGGCGUAAAGAGCGUGUAGGCGGCCAGGUAGGUCGGUUGUGAAAACUGGAGGCUCAACCUUCAGAGGUCGACCGAAACCAUCUGGCUAGAGUCCGGGAGAGGAGAGUGGAAUCCCUGGUGUAGCGGUGAAAUGCGCAGAUAUCAGGAAGAACACCCGUGGCGAAAGCGGCUCUCUGGAACGGUACUGACGCUGAGACGCGAAAGCGUGGGGAGCGAACAGG
Molecule: ribosomal RNA, 253 nt
Filed under: uncultured bacterium
Lineage: Bacteria
Description: partial 16S ribosomal RNA
Rfam family: Bacterial small subunit ribosomal RNA
Source: RNAcentral